This 404-nucleotide ribosomal RNA is filed under the name uncultured Actinomycetes bacterium. RNAcentral describes it as "bacterial SSU rRNA". It matches the Rfam family "Bacterial small subunit ribosomal RNA", at positions 39 to 435 of the family's 1533-position model. The record is from RNAcentral. Lineage: Bacteria; Bacillati; Actinomycetota; Actinomycetes.
UUUUGGAGGAACUCGGCGUGCUUUAACAUGCAAGACGAGCGAUGAAACACCUUCGGGUGUGAAUUAGCGGCGAACGGGUGAGGAACACGUGAAGAAUCUGCCUUCAACUCUGGGAUAACUCCGGGAAACCGGGGCUAAUACCGGAUAUGAGCCUUGAUCGCAUGAUCGGGGCUGGAAAGUUUUUCGGUUGAAGAUGACUUCGCGGCCUAUCAGCUUGUUGGUGAGGUAAUGGCUCACCAAGGCGACGACGGGUAGCCGGCCUGAGAGGGCGACCGGCCACACUGGGACUGAGACACGGCCCAGACUCCUACGGGAGGCAGCAGUGGGGAAUAUUGGGCAAUGGAGGAAACUCUGACCCAGCGACGCCGCGUGAGGGAUGAAGGCCUUCGGGUUGUAAACCUCUU